RNAcentral lists this long non-coding RNA (229 nucleotides) under Hordeum vulgare. Its description in RNAcentral is "long non-coding RNA (HVUL_LNC019894)". The record is from RNAcentral. Lineage: Eukaryota; Viridiplantae; Streptophyta; Magnoliopsida; Poales; Poaceae.
UGCUGGUUAGAGCAGUUAGAAAUUCCUUUCAUUCAUCUUCUUGUUGGAUCCUCUCAGCGGUAGACGUUGCGAGAACAGUUAAUCGAUCAUAUUAUUCCCACGGCCAGUUAACCGGUGUGCUGAUUACUGUGAGAUCUCCGUUCCAUUGAUAGUUUGUCUGAAACCUAAUAACUGCUGCCUGGUUUUGUCUUGGAGGUGUUCAAGUUGAAACAGGGAAACUUUUACUGUC